Molecule: ribosomal RNA, 497 nt
Filed under: uncultured bacterium
Lineage: Bacteria
Description: partial 16S ribosomal RNA
Rfam family: Bacterial small subunit ribosomal RNA
Source: RNAcentral
GAUGAACGCUGGCGGCGUGCCUAAUACAUGCAAGUCGAGCGAACAGACGAGGCGCUUGCUCCUCUGACGUUAGCGGCGGACGGGUGAGUAACACGUGGAUAACCUACCUAUAAGACUGGGAUAACUUCGGGAAACCGGAGCUAAUACCGGAUAAUAUAUUGAACCGCAUGGUUCAAUAGUGAAAGACGGUUUUGCUGUCACUUAUAGAUGGAUCCGCGCCGCAUUAGCUAGUUGGUAAGGUAACGGCUUACCAAGGCAACGAUGCGUAGCCGACCUGAGAGGGUGAUCGGCCACACUGGAACUGAGACACGGGCCAGACUCCUACGGGAGGCAGCAGUAGGGAAUCUUCCGCAAUGGGCGAAAGCCUGACGGAGCAACGCCGCGUGAGUGAUGAAGGUCUUCGGAUCGUAAAACUCUGUUAGUAGGGAAGAACAAAUGUGUAAGUAACUAUGCACGUCUUGACGGUACCUAAUCAGAAAGCCACGGCUAACUACGUG